UACGUAGGGUGCGAGCGUGUCCGGAAUUAUUGGGCGUAAAGAGCUUGUAGGCGGUUUGUCGCGUCUGCUGUGAAAAUCCGGGGCUCAACCCCGGACUUGCAGUGGGUACGGGCAGACUAGAGUGUGGUAGGGGAGACUGGAAUUCCUGGUGUAGCGGUGAAAUGCGCAGAUAUCAGGAGGAACACCGAUGGCGAAGGCAGGUCUCUGGGCCACUACUGACGCUGGAGAAGCGAAAUGCCAUGGGGAGCGAACAGGA
This 256-nucleotide ribosomal RNA is filed under the name uncultured bacterium. RNAcentral describes it as "partial 16S ribosomal RNA". It matches the Rfam family "Bacterial small subunit ribosomal RNA", at positions 524 to 777 of the family's 1533-position model. The record is from RNAcentral.